This is a long non-coding RNA of Lycium barbarum (goji berry), 954 nucleotides long. RefSeq lists it as uncharacterized. The record is from RefSeq and is a predicted model, not a curated record. The transcript is spliced from 2 exons. NCBI's taxonomy places the organism in Eukaryota, Viridiplantae, Streptophyta, Magnoliopsida, Solanales, Solanaceae.
AGUAGGUUAGCACCCUACCCACUUUUUACUUUACCUAAAUACCCUUACUCUUUUUUACCUUAGUAUUAAAAUUAAGGGCGUUUCGUCAUUUCAUCAAAACUCAAUUCAUUUUCUCUCCGCGCCCAAAGCAGCCAUUGAAUCUGGCGGGAUAAGAACCACCAGGCUGUGAUUUUUCUCUAUGAUUUGAAGGUUUGAUUCGGUUUGCAGUAUCAUCUAUUGGAACAAGCCAAGCAUAAACUCAUACAAGAUCAAUAGUGAUGGAAGCCACAAGAAGAAACUCCAGUGGAGGAGACGGAAUUGUCAGGAUCCGCCAAGAAAGAAUGAUCAUGGCAUACUCAGUAAACUUUAGCAAUGGAUCCAACAAUCUAGGAGAAGCUAAGGAUAUGUUUUUUGGGAUCAAAUGGUGCAUUCAGAAUGGCUUCUACAACCUCAUCCUUGAAAGUGACUUCAUGUUACUCCAAGCUUCGAUAAAGAAGUUUUUAAAAUUUGCUUGCAAAUCUACUCAAUAAUCAGGGAGAUUAAGACAUUUUUUGACUGGAACUACCUGGAACAUUCAAGAUUGCUAUAGGGAGGCCAACAAAGUAGCUGACAAACUUGCGACUCUAAGUCACUCAACUCAGAACCCCAAGAUAUACAACUCUUUCGAAGAACUCUCAAGACAAGUGAAAGGACUUGUAAACAUGGAUAAAUGGGGAUAUUCUAACUUUCGAGUUAGGAACAAAAAGAUCAAUGAAAUCAAGUUUCCUGGUGUGAUACGUCAUGUAUAGACUGACCCUCAUCUUUUGGGCCCUUAACAGUGGUCAUGAGAGUCUAGCUCUCAGUAAAUGUAUAAAGCCUUAUGGUCUUAAUUUUUGUGCAUAUCUCAAGACUAGUUCUUGUAGAAAAUAUCGUAAAGCAAUGGACUUGUCCAUUGACUUAGAAACUGUUUAAGAGGUUAGGCUAAUUAUACUUCAA